CCUACGGGAGGCAGCAGUGGGGAAUAUUGCACAAUGGGGGAAACCCUGAUGCAGCGACGCCGCGUGAGUGAAGAAGUAAUUCGUUACGUAAAGCUCUAUCAGCAGGGAAGAAACACUGACCUUACGGUCAGCAGACGGUACCUGAGUAAGAAGCCCCGGCUAACUACGUGCCAGCAGCCGCGGUAAUACGUAGGGGGCAAGCGUUAUCCGGAUUUACUGGGUGUAAAGGGAGCGUAGACGGCAAGGCAAGCCUGGAGUGAAAGCCCGGGGCCCAACCCCGGGACUGCUCUGGGAACUGUCCGGCUGGAGUGCGGGAGGGGCAGGCGGAAUGCCUGGUGUAGCGGUGAAAUGCGUAGAUAUCAGGAGGAACACCGGCGGCGAAGGCGGCCUGCUGGACCGCGACUGACGUUGAGGCUCGAAAGCGUGGGGAGCAAACAGGAUUAGAUACCCCGGUAGUC
RNAcentral lists this ribosomal RNA (458 nucleotides) under uncultured bacterium. Its description in RNAcentral is "partial 16S ribosomal RNA". It matches the Rfam family "Bacterial small subunit ribosomal RNA", at positions 338 to 795 of the family's 1533-position model. The record is from RNAcentral.